CCGGUCUAAAGAGAAUCGGGCCUUCGACUUUGCUCGAGUUAGGUCGAGGUUCUCCUCCUGUCCCUAACAGGGCUGUGGAGGCGCAUAUGGGCAUUGCAGGGCCUCUCCCCCCAUCCGAUCUAAAGAGAACCGGGCCUUCAACUUUGCUCAAGUUAGGGCGAGGUUCUCCUCCUGUCCCUAACAGGGCUGUGGGGGCGCAUAUGGGCGUUGCAGGGCCUCUCCCCCC
RNAcentral lists this long non-coding RNA (226 nucleotides) under Elaeis guineensis (African oil palm). RNAcentral describes it as "long non-coding RNA (EGUI_LNC066188)". The record is from RNAcentral. Lineage: Eukaryota; Viridiplantae; Streptophyta; Magnoliopsida; Arecales; Arecaceae.